GACGAACGCUGGCGGCGUGCUUAACACAUGCAAGUCGAACGACGUGGCGAACGGGUGAGUAAUACUUGGGUACCCUGCCCUCCUUUUUGGGUUAAGCCUUGGAAACGGGGUCUAAUACCGAAUACUGGGGGAUGGGCUCGCGGCCUAUCAGCUUGUUGGUGGGGUGAUGGCCUACCAAGGCGGUGAUGGGUAGCCGGCCUGAGAGGGUGACCGGGCACAUGGGGAGUGCGAUACGGCCCAGAGUGCUACGGGAGGGGGCAGUGGGGGAUAUUGCAGAAUGGGCGAAAGGCAAAUGCAGCGGAGCCACGAGGGGGAUGAGGGCGUACGGGUUGUAAACCUCUUUCGCUCGCGAACGGGUAGGUAGAGAAGAAGCGCCGGCUAACUACGUGCCAGCAGCCGCGGUAAUUC
RNAcentral lists this ribosomal RNA (408 nucleotides) under uncultured bacterium. Its description in RNAcentral is "partial 16S ribosomal RNA". It matches the Rfam family "Bacterial small subunit ribosomal RNA", at positions 28 to 526 of the family's 1533-position model. The record is from RNAcentral.